CUCCGAGAAAUGAUGGGGGUGUAGAUUUUGUUUACGUAUAUUCGGAUAUCGUUGCCCCUUGCCGGUUUGCUGGUCAACAGGUUAAUAUCUUAGAUGCAUUUGCUUUGCAAGGUUCGAGUACUAAGGGAUACACGCCCACACUCUAUAAACAACUCUUAAGCAAGACUUUAAAUUCGGUGGGUGUGCACAUUACAGAUCAGAAUGGGUAUCCCAUAGUUUUCGAGGAGGGUCAUUCUGUUACACUUAUACUUCACAUAAGACCUAGGUAAAUUUUGUAUAUAUAAAGACGGUGCAUGUAUAUCUGUACUUAUUUUACAUCGGUACGUCGUCCCGGUGUGUUUGUUUGUUUAUGCAGAGCAAAGACUGACACCGCUUCGAUUUCCAUCAUGUAUGUGAGAGCACCUUUUGUUCCGCCGACGGUUGAGGAAUUUAUGGUCAUCUUUGAACAGCCAGAAUCGCAGAUUAAACCCUUUCGAGGAGGGUCAUUGGGGGAUAUUAGUGUGUAUAGACCCUAUGAUAAUUACAGAAGAGGUGCCGGGUUACUCUCUUUUCUCGGUAAUAUUGGCAAGAGAUUAAUUCCGUUUGUUUCUAAGCUCGUUAAGCCUGCCCUGCUUGAUUUUGGGUCUGGUGUUAUUGAUGAUAUGAGACAGGGGAAUGGCAGUUUAAGGUCUUCUCUGAAAAAAAGAGGGGUGGAGGCAGUUAAACAUAUCGGUGCGAGGGCAAUGAGAGGAGGAGGAGGAGGAGGAGGAGGAAGAGGAGUGCGUAGAAAACGGAAAAGAGUGAAACGAUUGACAAUUCGUCCCAGUUGUUCGAGCUAUAAAAAAGAUGUCUUUUCCUUGGCUUAGUCAGUUAUAGACUCGUCUUGACGAGGUGCGCAAUAGUAAUAUAGAGUUAAGAGUGUAAUAUCAUUAUUAACAAUCAUGAAUCAGUACAAGACACCGCUGUCAUCUUAUGUUGCCGGGGUAAGCGAUAUGUUUCCCCGGUCAAAUAGAUUGCACAUGAUUGAAUCAGGGAUAGAAGAACGGUCUGAGGUGGAUGUGCUGCCUUUUAACGCGGGGAUUAAUGGUUCUGUUACAGAUAAUUAUGCAGAAUUUAGGUGGCCUGCCGGGCAAAAUUGUUAUGUUGACUUAUCAAGAUUGGUUUUAGAGAUUAAGGGCAGUUUGAGAAAAGAGGAUGGUACUUUAUUAAGCGAAGGUGAUCAUGCUGUAUUGUGCAACUCUGCCAUGCACUCGCUAAUUAAAUCUGUGACGGUUUAUUUUAAUGGGCAGCAAGUAGAACAAAAUCCUCUGUAUAAUUUUUCGUCAUAUGUUCGCCUAGAAACGGGUAUGUCUCCUUCGCUGAAGAAAACAUUAGGAAGAAAUAUGCAUUAUUAUGAUCAUUCUAGCAUACCGAGGAGCUAUGCGGAAGAUUAUUUUACAGGCGCUAGUGAACAAGAGAAAUCUGAUAUGAAUGAGGUUAAGACUAGUGGAUUUCAUUUUAUGGCUCCGCUAAUGUUAGAUAUAGCAACAAUGGAUAUGUAUCUCUUAGACAAUGUCUCUAUGAGAAUACGACUUGAGUUUGCCUCGGACCGGUUUGUUAUUAACACCAGCCCGCAGGCGGUUGGAUCAAAGCCUGUGGUGAAGAUAGAGACUUGUAAAAUGCAUUUAACAACACUUAAACCGAGAGAUUCAGCACGAGAGGCUCUUAAUAAAUCUUUAAUUCGCAGUCCUCUUAGCUACAUAUUUAAUAAAACGCUAUACAAAACUUAUGUUAUGGCAAGCCAACAAACCCAACUUGCUAUUGACAUGCCGUGGGGGUCAACGAUUCCUGAAAAGUUAUCUCUUUUUAUGGUUGACAUGAAGGCUUAUGCGGGAGACUAUAACAUGAAUCCUCUACAUUUCGGUCAUAAUCAUUUGAGCAAACUUUUUGUUACCGUUAAUAACAACUCUGUGUACAAUAUAAGCACGAGUUUCCCGAGUCGUUGCUCAGAUUUAUAUUAUCACUCGCUUAAUGCACUGGGGUUGGAAAAGGAGCAUUCGCUUGAUAGACAUGGGUUUGUGAACGGUAAAAUGAUUGCUGUUAUGGAUUUGCAACCUGAAAAGCUGCAGGAUGCGAUAGCUAUUGAAAAUUCGGGAAGUCUUAGGAUUGCCGUUGAAUUGUCGCAGCCUUACGACUCGAAUAUUGUUUUAUUUUUGGUGGGUGAUACGCAAGGUGUAAUUUACGUUGAUAACGAUCGUAGGGUGGUUGCAGAUGUCAGAGCAUAAUGAACUGCAACGAGGUGUCGAGUAUUUGUUCGCAGUUUCUGAGGAGAGGAUAUGUGUUGCGGGGGUGUUUCUUGGCUGAUCAACUGCCUAUUAGAAUAGGUCGCACAAACCAUAAUGAAUUCUUUGUGGUUAACAUACUUACAUCUCGCCAUAGACCGUCAAUUAUGGGGCAUUAUGUAUUAGUAGUUAUUGGGAAAUCUUAUAUUGCUUACUUUGAUUCUUAUGGGAUCAAACCACGUGUUUAUUCUUCUUGGUUGCAAGGAUUUAUCAGCCAGUAUUAUGAUAAGAGGUUUCUUGAUAUUAGUAGACGUUUACAGAGUCUUGAUAGUUUAACAUGCGGGGCAUAUGUAAUCUUUAUCAUGUAUCAUAUUAAUUUGUAUGGGGUGGAUCGUAUUAAUAAUUUUCUACGUUGUUAUUUUUCGCACGAUGAUUUCAAAUAUAAUGAUAGGAAGGUUAUAAGAUUUUUGUAUAGACAUUUUAACAUGCCUCGAUGUGAGAGAUUAUUUUGUGAUAGAUCUCUAAGCAAAAGGAAAUGUAAGCAGCUGUACUGCAGUUAGUUCCUCGCCCUUCCGCCCCUCGUCCCUACCUCCUCCUCCCCUUCUUCCGCUGACCCUUUUUUUUUCGUGAUUGUGAUUGGUUGGAGAGUUUGCUGAGUACUUGGGUCAUGGCUUUAUAAGAACCGAUUCGUGUAUAAGCUGUGUCACACCCGUCUAACCGAACCAUAUCAAGAUGAGCUCGAUAUUUGCUGAGACUACCGAGGUAGAAGGUGUUUAUGUUGGUAUAAACGACAACGUUGCUGUCGUCUUUAUCACCGGUACUGCAACUGUGGAUGAUGGGAAAAUACGGGAUAUUUUUGAGAAGGGGGUUACCGAAUGCCGUAUAUAUAAAUGUGUGAGCGAGCCGCAAAAAUUGACGCUGUCGACAGCGAAGAGAAGGAUGGAAGAACCUGCCUCCUCUGCGGAAAAAAGAAGACGGGUGUCAGAACCCGUUGCCGUUGCCUCAGAUUCGGCGUGGGGGGAAGAACCGACAUCGUUGCAACCACAGGCUUUCCAGCCUGAUUUAAGUCCCACAUCUCCUGUGUACUACCCUGGAGGGAUGCAGAGGUCGCUGAUUCCAGCGUUGUAUGGCAAUAUAUAUACACAACCGUCGCACUUGCACGGUUUCGAUCUUGGCAGUGGGCCAUCCCACGGUGAGAGGAGUUUGUUGGCAUGCGGUAGUAAUCAGACAAUAGAGAGUUUUCCCUCGCAUGAACCGCCUCCGUUAUAUGAUGGCUUGAUUCCUCUCAUUGACUUAACAGAAGACGAUGAGGAUUCGACAGCAUGCAGUGAUAGUAAUGCAGGAACGGUUAGAAUUUGUUCUUGUCAUCUGCAUCAUAUGUAGGGCGGGAAAAAAUGUGUGUGUGUGUGUGUGUGU
This 3656-nucleotide unclassified non-coding RNA is filed under the name Penaeus monodon (black tiger shrimp). RNAcentral describes it as "uncharacterized LOC119576263, transcript variant X3". Lineage: Eukaryota; Metazoa; Arthropoda; Malacostraca; Decapoda; Penaeidae. The record is from RNAcentral.